RNAcentral lists this ribosomal RNA (631 nucleotides) under uncultured bacterium. RNAcentral's name for it is "bacterial SSU rRNA". It matches the Rfam family "Bacterial small subunit ribosomal RNA", at positions 338 to 961 of the family's 1533-position model. The record is from RNAcentral.
CCUACGGGAGGCAGCAGUGGGGAAUUUUGGACAAUGGGCGCAAGCCUGAUCCAGCCAUUCCGCGUGAGUGAAGAAGGCCUUCGGGUUGUAAAGCUCUUUCGGCAGGGAAGAAACGGCUACGGUUAAUACCCGUGGCUAAUGACGGUACCUGAAGAAGAAGCACCGGCUAACUACGUGCCAGCAGCCGCGGUAAUACGUAGGGUGCGAGCGUUAAUCGGAAUUACUGGGCGUAAAGCGUGCGCAGGCGGUUUUGUAAGACAGAUGUGAAAUCCCCGGGCUUAACCUGGGAACUGCGUUUGUGACUGCAAGACUAGAGUACGGCAGAGGGGGGUGGAAUUCCACGUGUAGCAGUGAAAUGCGUAGAGAUGUGGAGGAACACCGAUGGCGAAGGCAGCCCCCUGGGUCGAUACUGACGCUCAUGCACGAAAGCGUGGGGAGCAAACAGGAUUAGAUACCCUGGUAGUCCACGCCCUAAACGAUGCCAACUAGGUGUUGGGGAAGGAGACUUCCUUAGUACCGUAGCUAACGCGUGAAGUUGGCCGCCUGGGGAGGUACGGUCGCGAAAUUAAAACGUUAAAGGUAAAGUUAGACGGCGUGAGACGUGCCGACGGACGACGACGAGGGAGGUAGG